UCACACCUGCCCAAGCGUGCGUA
This 23-nucleotide ribosomal RNA is filed under the name Ulvella sp. 1-BER-2007. RNAcentral describes it as "partial 5.8S ribosomal RNA". The record is from RNAcentral. Lineage: Eukaryota; Viridiplantae; Chlorophyta; Ulvophyceae; Ulvales; Ulvellaceae.